RNAcentral lists this ribosomal RNA (479 nucleotides) under Otidea felina. RNAcentral describes it as "eukaryotic LSU rRNA". The stretch from base 180 to 333 matches the Rfam family "5.8S ribosomal RNA". Lineage: Eukaryota; Fungi; Ascomycota; Pezizomycetes; Pezizales; Pyronemataceae. The record is from RNAcentral.
CCUAGAGAUACAAUUCCAACCCAUUCUGCGUAUCAUUCCUGUUGCUUCCGUGGGGUGGAGUUUGAGCAUGUCUCGGAUCGCUCCGACUAGUCAGUUGGCUGGUCCCCGCGGGAGGUACCCUACAAACCAUUUGCAUUUAUUUUGCCUUCUGUCUGAAUAAUGUUUAUAACAAUUGUUAAAACUUUCAACAACGGAUCUCUUGGUUCUCGCAUCGAUGAAGAACGCAGCGAAAUGCGAUAAGUAGUGUGAAUUGCAGAAUUCAGUGAAUCAUCGAAUCUUUGAACGCACAUUGCGCCUCCUGGUAUUCCGGGAGGCAUGCCUGUUCGAGCGUCAUGAAGACAAUUUCAAGCUCUUUUGCUUGGUUUUGAAGGUUGAGUGUUGCGCUUGCGCUCGUUCACCAUUGAAAUUCACAGGCGGACGGUUUCGUGUUCCUUCUGGAGUUAUAGGUUAACUCUCUCGCUGGAUACGUGAACCUGUCC